AAGUUGUGCAAGUGAAGCGCACCAGCAAAAUUGAAAUCCGCCCUGCAGAUCGGAAUGUAAUGGUAGAUCGUGUCGGAUGCCGUGAUGCACGAGUAUUUGAAUGUAACAUCAUAGAGGGUGAUAAUCCGUACCUGCCGCCCACCAAUUCCGUGGAAGCACUUUCGACGAGUCGAGUUGUUUGGGAAUGCAGCCCAAAUUGGGUGGUAAAUUUCAUCUAAAGCUAAAUAUCAGCCAGAGACCGAUAGCGCACAAGUAGAGUGAUCGAAAGAUGAAAAGCACUUUGAAAGAGAGUAAAAAAGCACGUGAAACUGUUUGGAGGGAAGCGCUUGCAACCAGACUCGCUCGCAGUGUUCAGCCUCCUGACAAGGUGGUGCACUCUCUGCGCGGCGGGCCAACAUCAGUUUCAGCGGUCGGACAAAAGUUCGGAAAACGUAGCUUCUCCUCGGAGGAGUGUUAUAGUUCCGUCCACAAUGCGAUCUGCCGGGACUGAGGAAAACUGCGCUCUAUGCUAGGAUGUUGGCAUAAUGGUUGUCAGCGACCCGUCUUGAAACACGGACCAAGGAGUCCUACAACUCCGCGAGCGUUAGGGUGUCAAACCCCUGCGCGGAAUGAAAGUGAACGUAGGUGGGAGUUCGCAAGAACGCACCAUCGACCGAUCCGAGUUCGCGAGGAUUUGAGUAUGAGUGUAGUUGUAGGGACCCGAAAGAAGGUGAACUAUUGCUGACUAGGGCGAAGCCAGAGGAAACUCUGGUGGAGGCUCGCAGCGGUUCUGACGUGCAAAUCGAUCGUCAAAGCUGGCAAUAGGGGCGAAAGACUAAUCGAACCUUCUAGUAGCUGGUUCCUGUCGAAGUUUCCCUCAGGAUAGCAGCAACGAAUUGAACAGUCUCAUGAGGUAGAGCAACGAUUAGAGGCCUUGGGGCUGUAACAGCCUUAACCUAUUCUCGAACUCCGAAUAUGUGAGAAGUCCUUGUUACUUUAUGAACGUGGACAUUGGAUUAUCGUGCUUUACAA
RNAcentral lists this ribosomal RNA (1011 nucleotides) under Chapsa sp. 1 CHSP6163. RNAcentral's name for it is "LSU rRNA". It matches the Rfam family "Eukaryotic large subunit ribosomal RNA", at positions 81 to 1125 of the family's 3401-position model. The record is from RNAcentral. Lineage: Eukaryota; Fungi; Ascomycota; Lecanoromycetes; Ostropales; Graphidaceae.